This 83-nucleotide transfer RNA is filed under the name uncultured Desulfovibrio sp. RNAcentral's name for it is "Selenocysteine transfer RNA". It matches the Rfam family "Selenocysteine transfer RNA". Lineage: Bacteria; Pseudomonadati; Thermodesulfobacteriota; Desulfovibrionia; Desulfovibrionales; Desulfovibrionaceae. The record is from RNAcentral.
GUUUCGUCACCGGUGUGGCGCCCGGUCUUCAAAACCGGUGGUGGGCCUGACCGUCCACGGUAGGUUCGACUCCUAUGCGUCUC